CCUACGGGUGGCAGCAGUGGGGAAUCUUGCACAAUGGGGGAAACCCUGAUGCAGCGACGCCGCGUGAGUGAAGAAGCGCCUCGGCGCGUAAAGCUCUGUCAGCAGGAACGAUAAUGACGGUACGUGAAGAAGAAGCUCCGGCUAACUACGUGACAGCAGCCGCGGUAAUACGUAGGGGGCAAGCGUUAUCCGGAUUUACUGGGCGUAAAGGGUGCGUAGUCGGCGGGGCAAGUCUGCAGUGAAAGGCCGGGGCGCAACCCCGGGACUGCACUGGAAACUGGCCGGCUGGAGUGCGGGAGAGGUAAGCGGAAUUCCUAGUGUAGCGGUGAAAUGCGGAGAUAUUAGGAGGAACACCAGCGGCGAAGGCGGCUUACUGGACCGUGACUGACGUUGAGGCUCGAAAGCGUGGGGAGCAAACAGGAUUAGAUACCCCUGUAGUC
This 440-nucleotide ribosomal RNA is filed under the name uncultured bacterium. Its description in RNAcentral is "partial 16S ribosomal RNA". It matches the Rfam family "Bacterial small subunit ribosomal RNA", at positions 338 to 795 of the family's 1533-position model. The record is from RNAcentral.